Molecule: non-coding RNA, 594 nt
Organism: Penaeus vannamei (Pacific white shrimp)
Lineage: Eukaryota; Metazoa; Arthropoda; Malacostraca; Decapoda; Penaeidae
Source: RefSeq, a predicted model, not a curated record
CAUGGCGCCAAGAGCAGCACCAAUUGGCACUUUUGAAAAGGAGUGCCUCCUCGAAAUUGUCAAAGAUCACAUAGAGAUAAUAAAUGACAAGUCAUCAGGUAUUGGUAAAGCUGAAAAAAGCAGUGUUGGCAAGACAUUGCAAAUAUCUUUUUUUUCUAAAACAGCUGUAGGAAAUCUCCCAUCCAGGUUAGAAAGGUCUGGGAAUCCCUUCGAAAAUCUGUUUCACGGAGUCCACGGAGCAAAGAACCAUUAUUCAUGCUAUAAGCGGAAAAUAAAGAAAACUGGGGAGGUCCACCACCACAGUCCCUAGAUAACAUCACGCAAAAGGUGCUGCAGCUCAUUGAAGGCGAAUUGGAGCCACUGGCGAAUGUGUGUGAUUCGGAUGCUGGAAUACAUGAUGAAUCUAAUGCCAUUACCGAUUCAUUCGCUGAUAGCAAUCCUGGGCCAAUCCCGAUUGCCACUCCACCUGUGGUUCAAGAUUUACCAAAAGAUGGCGAUACCCUGGUUUUAUCAGAGGUGAUUUUCACAUCUAAUGAGGAAGCAGUAGCCCAAGGACCUAGUUGUGAGGAAGAAAGUGCUAGGCCUACGUGCUCC